UCCUACGGGGCGCAGCAGUGGGGAAUAUUGCACAAUGGGGGGAACCCUGAUGCAGCGACGCCGCGUGAGUGAAGAAGUAUUUCGGUAUGUAAAGCUCUAUCAGCAGGGAAGAAAAUGACGGUACCUGACUAAGAAGCCCCGGCUAACUACGUGCCAGCAGCCGCGGUAAUACGUAGGGAGCAAGCGUUAUCCGGAUUUACUGGGUGUAAAGGGCGUGUAGGCGGGCCUGCAAGUCAGAAGUGAAAUCUGGGGGCUUAACCCCUAAACUGCUUUUGAAACUGUGGGUCUUGAGUGAUGGAGAGGCG
This 305-nucleotide ribosomal RNA is filed under the name uncultured bacterium. Its description in RNAcentral is "bacterial SSU rRNA". It matches the Rfam family "Bacterial small subunit ribosomal RNA", at positions 337 to 659 of the family's 1533-position model. The record is from RNAcentral.